CAGUAGCCACGGUAAUACGUAGGGUGCAAGCGUUGUCCGGAAUUAUUGGGCGUAAAGGGCUCGCAGGCGGUUUCUUAAGUCUGAUGUGAAAGCCCCCGGCUCAACCGGGGAGGGUCAUUGGAAACUGGGAAACUUGAGUGCAGAAGAGGAGAGUGGAAUUCCACGUGUAGCGGUGAAAUGCGUAGAGAUGUGGAGGAACACCAGUGGCGAAGGCGACUCUCUGGUCUGUAACUGACGCUGAGGAGCGAAAGCGUGGGGAGCGAACAGGAUUAGAUACCCCAGUAGUCCCUGUCUCUUAUAC
This 301-nucleotide ribosomal RNA is filed under the name uncultured bacterium. Its description in RNAcentral is "partial 16S ribosomal RNA". It matches the Rfam family "Bacterial small subunit ribosomal RNA", at positions 509 to 807 of the family's 1533-position model. The record is from RNAcentral.